This is a long non-coding RNA of Homo sapiens (human), 732 nucleotides long. The record is from Ensembl. NCBI's taxonomy places the organism in Eukaryota, Metazoa, Chordata, Mammalia, Primates, Hominidae.
UUUUCACAUCAAGAAACAAAAAGGCAGAGAAAGUCACUAACCUGCUAGGGAACUCGGAUAGUAGGUAGGCAGAGCUUAGAUGAAACCCAAUCUGCUGACUCCACAUGUGGUAAUGAUAAAGGAGACGCUCUCUCGGGAGACGUGUGAAACUCGUGGUGAGAUUCAGAGACAGAGAGUGAUGAGCGAUUGGCUAAGUGACUGGAAGGUGAUUUUUCCAGGUAGGAUUUCUGUUUUAGAUCAAGUUUGAAGUCUAAGCACUUUUAAGCCUCAGCAGAAAAGUUUAUGAUGUGGAUGGGGAUAGGCCACUUGAAAACCGCUGUUUUUUACGGCCACAUAAGUUUUUCCUCUCUCGCCUAUUUUCUGAAAUAGAUCCUGCUGUCUGGGCCCCACAGAUAGAUCCAGGACAGAAAGUGAGACCAUCACAGUGCCUGGUGCCUCUGGACAGCCUCAAGCCAGAAAAUAAGAGCCUAUUUCUGAGAUUGUAUAUGAGGUUGUGAGACAAAAGUUUUUUCUUCUCGCAUUGCUAAACUGAGAGGAUGAGAAUACGAGGCUCUGAAUGGCCCUCUUCCCAGCACAUGGAACUCCUGUCUGCAGAAAGGAAACUACUGACAACAAGGAGAGAAUGGAGACUCAAACAGCUUGGAUGUCCCUGCCUGGAAAGGUGACAUGUGUGCCUCUCUUCUCUUCUUAUUGUUUGCACGGUGUGAAGGCACACCGUGCUGGGACCUCAGC